RNAcentral lists this long non-coding RNA (506 nucleotides) under Amphimedon queenslandica. Its description in RNAcentral is "uncharacterized LOC109592913, transcript variant X2". The record is from RNAcentral. Lineage: Eukaryota; Metazoa; Porifera; Demospongiae; Haplosclerida; Niphatidae.
AAGCUCCACCCACAAAUCUAAUUAGCCACACCUCCUGAUUACUGUAGAGAUUUGAGUUAUUGAUCUUAUAUUGUCUUUUAGGUACUUUAUAGUCUGUGUAUUAGUGUAUCAGUACCGUAUAUACUCGUAUUGAAUCAGUUGGCAUGGUAUUGACAUCAGUACAGGGAGGAUCACGUGAUAGGUCACAUGACUUGAUAUCAACUGCCGUUCCUCGUGUGAACGGGUGGGAGUGUCCCUGGCACCCACUUCAAGUAUUAUCCUGGGGUGUUGUCCUAUUCUUGAGUCUAAUGCAUUAUGGGUUCAUUGUGUUCUAUUUCCCCUCAUACUGGAGGAUAAUGGGCUACACUGUAUCCUUUAUUAAUUAGUGGGCGGGGCUUAACAAUGGGUGGAGCUUCACUAGUAAUAUUAUUACUUUGAAGUAUCAAUGUACUAGUUUUAAGAGCUUGUACUGAUUUUAAUUAAUAAUUAAUUGAAUUAAAAAUUCACUAAAAUUAAUUAUUUAUUAU